UUAUGCCGCGUGAGUGAAGAAGGCCUUUGGGUUGUAAAGCUCUUUUGUAGGGGAAGAUAAUGACUGUACCCUAAGAAUAAGGUCCGGCUAACUUCGUGCCAGCAGCCGCGGUAAUACGAAGGGACCUAGCGUAGUUCGGAAUUACUGGGCGUAAAGCGCGCGUAGGCCGUUGAGUUAGUUAAUUGUGAAAUCCCAAAGCUUAACUUUGGAACUGCAAUUAAAACUGCUCGACUAGAGUUUGAUAGAGGAAAGCGGAAUACAUAGUGUAGAGGUGAAAUUCGUAGAUAUUAUGUAGAACACCAGUUGCGAAGGCGGCUUUCUGGGUCAACACUGACGCUGAGGCGCGAAAGUAUGGGUAGCAAAGAGGAUUAGAUACCCUCGUAGUCCAUACCAUAAACGAUGAUUGCUAGAUGUUGGAAAUUUAUUUUCAGUAUCGCAGCUAACGCAUUAAGCAAUCCGCCUGGGGAGUACGACCGCAAGGUUAAAACUCAAAUGAAUUGACGGGGACCCGCACAAGCGGUGGAGCAUGUGGUUUAAUUCGAAGAUACGCGCAGAACCUUACCAACCCUUGACAUGUCUGUCGCGAGUUUAGGAAACUAGACUUUUCGGUUCGGCCGGA
This 619-nucleotide ribosomal RNA is filed under the name uncultured bacterium. Its description in RNAcentral is "bacterial SSU rRNA". It matches the Rfam family "Bacterial small subunit ribosomal RNA", at positions 392 to 1026 of the family's 1533-position model. The record is from RNAcentral.